This is a long non-coding RNA of Bombus terrestris (buff-tailed bumblebee), 3645 nucleotides long. RefSeq lists it as uncharacterized. Lineage: Eukaryota; Metazoa; Arthropoda; Insecta; Hymenoptera; Apidae. The record is from RefSeq and is a predicted model, not a curated record. The transcript has 2 exons.
GUACUCUAUGCUUUGAUAUAUUUUGUAUUAUGAAUUUGUAUUAUUUUUUUUUUUUUUUUUGGUUUUCGCUUAUGUAAUAUUUUCCUGCCUUUCUUAUUUAUUUCAACCAGUUUGUAGGGUUCGACCUAUACAGGAAUGCAAUCGAUAGAGUUAUGCAACAUCGAGAAUUCAAUAAAUCGCAGCAUUACGUGACCCGAACUUUUAACGCGCGCCUCCGUUAUACGAGAUAUUGAUUUGUCCCAUGGGUAAUCGAUGACGAGGCGAGAAUUUCUCGACGUUGCAUGAUCAUGUAAACGACAGUGAGGUGACGAGAGCGCUUUUCUUUUUAUUGAAGAUCUUUCGACAAAUCAAGUUUAACGAAGAAUCAUUCGUAUCUUAUUUCAACGUUUAAGAAGUUGUUAAUUUUCUUUCCACUUGAUUUGUCACGUCACGAUGUAAAAAAUGCUCUCGUAAACUCAAUAUGUGUAUAAAAUACAAGCAAAAGGUCGAAUCAGAUUUAUUGUAAAUCGAAUUCAACGUUUUGUUACAGGCUUGCAGAUUCCUUCGAGUAAAGAAAGGAUAUACAGCUAAUUAAAAAUAUCAAGGCGAUCCGUACGAAGUAAAUAUUUAAUUUAUUUUCUCGUUGUUAAAGAAGAUAUCCAAAAGAUGGAUUUUUCUAAAACAUCUUAUACAUCUGUGAUCGAUGACCAGGUAUCGAAACAGUUUGACAAAAAGUUAAAAUGACGAUUAAAUUCGUUCGAAUCGUUGAUCAAACAAUGAAUGGAAUCCAUUUAUUUACUCGAGAAGGAUUGAUAUUCCAUCGAGAAGGACCGAUGAUAUUCUAUAGAAAAAAAAGAAUGAAGAAACGUAACAAGUCCACAUAAACAACAUGUCACUAAACUAUUGAGAGGCUUGAGAUUCAUCUUCUCAAAUUGUCUUUCUCCGAUGAAUCGUUUUAUGUGUUUAUCGUAUGCUACAAUCUACGUAUGAUAAAUGACACCUAAUGUGAAAAACCGUGCGUACCAUCGGUUUGAUUUCGUCGCGAAUCUGGCCGGAAUCUGCCCAACUAUUAUUUAUUUGCGUUUCAUUUUCUCUGCUUUAGUACUUUAGCUUUCAGCAUCUACAUAUUCUUUAAAGAAAGACGUUUCUCUUGUUAGUAGCAGCGUUUUUGUUAAUCUUCCAGGCCGCAGUGUCAUGCACUGUUGGUACGUGGCUUUAAUAAAAGACGCACUGGUGUUUUAGGAAGAAUAUAACAUAAUUUGAUAUAAUAAUUAUUCAAGCGAUUUAACGAAAUUCCUUUAAUUAGCUGUUUGCAGCUAAAAGUGUUACAUGUACCGUAUGUACAUAUCGCUGUCGUUUAUCUAAUAUUUGUUUAUUGUUAAGCACACUUUUAAGGUGUUGCAGUAGAAUAGUUAAAAUAGAUAGUAGUAAAAACAAUAAAAAAUAAAUUAUACGGGAAAGAUUAAGUAACGUAUGAGUUACGUUCAAUUCUUUCCAUUACCGUAUAGUAUAUUUGACACUUUACCUAAAACACCCUAUGCUAAAAAGAUAGUAACAAGCUUAAUUAAUGCAUCGUGUUCCGUUCGCUGCUAAUCCGAUAAAAACGAAUAAAUAGGAGGGCAAAAAUGCGAGUUAAGGUUCACAAGGGUUUUGUCCCCGUUUUUGGGUGUUCUUCCAAAGCCGUGCGUGUCUCACCUAUCCGUAGCAAGCCGUAGAUGUACAUGAUAAAAGCUUAUCGAAGCACGAUUCUUUCCUUCUAAAAGAGAAAAACGAAACAUUCGAGCCGCUCUCACAAAAAAAGAAAAAAAAAGAAAGAAAGAAAUGAAAUGUAACACGACGCCACGUAACGUGUAAAAAAGUAUACUAACCUGGUGGGGGUGAAAAAUACCGUCUCAAAAAAUCGCAUCGUACUCUCCGAAAGCGGAGAGGAAAAAAGAGCGAUCAGAUAUUUUCUAAAAAUUUUCUUAUCUCAUUUUUUACACUGCUCGCCGGUCGCUCAAUGAAUCGCAAUACACUUAGAAAUUCGCCGCGAAGUACAAGUUAUUCCUGUUAAUCGUUACGAACUCGUGGUCAUCAUCAAGACUGCACGAAACACAGGUUUUUUCUACAGGGUUUUUCUACAGAAUCUAUAUCGCUAUCUAUCUACUGCUACGAUUCUACUGGUUCGAAAAUUACUUUAAUCCGGUUAAUCAAUGCGUCACUGUCGAAGGAAAGAAUUAUAAUUAUAUUUGGUUGGUGGAGAAGCAACGAAGAGCAAAGCGAUUGCUACACAAUUUCAUUGUUUUCGUGAUUUUAUUCUAUCUUAAUUUCUGCUGCAUUCUUUCACUUGUUUUCGACACAAACCCAUCGUUAAACAAUUCUUUAACUUAUCGAUAGGUGUGAUUUUUUGUUGCAAUUUUUCUAAAAUAACAUUUCGAUUAAUUCGUUGAAUAUAUAAAUACACCAUUGCAACUUAGACCAAAGACUAGGUCGAUGAAAUUUCCGUACAAAGAUAUCGAUUUUGCUUUUAACAAACGUAUUUAUAUCUUUUCCAUCUACGUAAUUUUUAGUAAAGAUUAAACAAUGCAAUGGGAUUUAUCAUAAUAUUUAGAAUCUGUUAUAUUAUUUAUUGUAAAAUGGUGACUAUUUGAAAUUGUUCCUUUCAGCGCUAUCAGAGAUCAACGUUACUUUUCCACCAACUCGGUAUUAUAAUUGAUAAGCAGGUAAAAGGUUGAGGUUGGAGGGAUCGGAUUGAGAGAGAAGAAAAAAGUACAUGCCAUCUCCUGAAAAAGAUAGAAAUUUUUGGAUCUAGCUGAAAUUAAUUAUCGCUUGUUAGUCGGAGGAAAAGAAUACUUCGAAUACGCGUGCGUAGUAAAGCAUAUAUUAAUUGGAGUGUUUGGGUCAAUUGCUCCACAUCGUCCUUCUAUCUCCUAUAUUCGAUUCUUUUCUCCAUUUUGUCCUCGUUUAUGAUAAUAUAAUAAUAACGAAUAUAAAAAUUAAGAAAUUGAACAACGAAUGGAGAUAAGUGACGAUAUUGGAUCGAAUAGAUCAAUGGUAAAAAAUUAGAACGCGCAAGCGUCGAGAGAAAAUUUCCAGCUUUUUCAAGUUUGGCGGCCAUAUUGAAUUUACUUUUAUUCACUCCUUUUGCUUUCCUUUCUUUCAUUUUUCUUCUAUUUAUAAGUCUCACGACUAUUUUUUCUCUGAUGAAUUCAGCCUUUUACCACAAUUAUUACGAUCGAAUCGCCGUCAUACGCUCUUCCUUUCUAUAUUUUUCUUCCGAUUACCUAUCCAAAUCGUUCUUUUAUUCAUGCUCUUUAAUUCAUCUCUCGUUCUUUUCGAUCCGGAUUAGUGUAAUCAAACUGCGACCUCCACCUCAGCUGCAAGAGUUAACACGUCCUAAAUAUCGUUUGCCGUCGUGGACAAAAGUGAAAAGACAAAAAGUUCCUUCGAUUAUACAGCGAAAAAGGAAAAAUCAAAAAUGGCGUUGGCGAGGGCAACGCUCCUGGCGAAACGCAACGAAAAAUAUCGCAUUCGAAAAAAUAUUCGCCCGCGUGUAAUUAGAAAAAUCGUCUCGAAGUAGCAUAAAAUCAAUAACAUCGAGAAAAUGAAAUUUUUCUCAAUAGCAGCGCUUCUCGAAAAAAUAAAAACAUACCGUAUCUUGAGAAGUAAAAAACGAUCGCUGAAAAA